UACGGAGGAAGCUAGCGUUGUUCGGAAUUACUGGGCGUAAAGCGCACGUAGGCGGCUUUGCAAGUUAGAGGUGAAAGCCCGGGGCUCAACUCCGGAAUUGCCUUUAAAACUGCAUCGCUAGAGUUGUGGAGAGGUAAGUGGAAUUCCGAGUGUAGAGGUGAAAUUCGUAGAUAUUCGGAAGAACACCAGUGGCGAAGGCGACUUACUGGACACAUACUGACGCUGAGGUGCGAAAGCGUGGGGAGCAAACAGG
This 253-nucleotide ribosomal RNA is filed under the name uncultured bacterium. RNAcentral's name for it is "partial 16S ribosomal RNA". It matches the Rfam family "Bacterial small subunit ribosomal RNA", at positions 524 to 776 of the family's 1533-position model. The record is from RNAcentral.